RNAcentral lists this ribosomal RNA (440 nucleotides) under uncultured bacterium. RNAcentral's name for it is "partial 16S ribosomal RNA". It matches the Rfam family "Bacterial small subunit ribosomal RNA", at positions 338 to 795 of the family's 1533-position model. The record is from RNAcentral.
CCUACGGGUGGCAGCAGUAGGGAAUAUUGCACAAUGGGGGAAACCCUGAUGCAGCGACGCCGCGUGAGCGAUGAAGUAUUUCGGUAUGUAAAACUCUGUCAGCAGGGAAGAAAAUGACGGUACCUGACUAAGAAGCCCCGGCUAACUACGUGCCAGCAGCCGCGGUCAUACGUAGGGGGCAAGCGUUAUCCGGAUUUACUGGGUGUAACGGGAGCGUAGACGGCUUGGCAAGUCAGAUGUGAAAGGCUGGGGCUCAACCCCAGGACUGCAUUUGGAACUGUAAUGCUAGAGUGUCGGAGAGGAAGGCGGAAUUCCUAGUGUAGCGGUGAAAUGCGUAGAGAUUAGGAGGAACACCAGUGGCGAAGGCGGCCUGCUGGACGAUGACUGACGUUGAGGCGCGAAAGCGUGGGGAUCAAACAGGAUUAGAUACCCUAGUAGUC